Molecule: ribosomal RNA, 459 nt
Filed under: uncultured bacterium
Lineage: Bacteria
Description: partial 16S ribosomal RNA
Rfam family: Bacterial small subunit ribosomal RNA
Source: RNAcentral
AGCGAACGCUGGCGGCAGGCCUAACACAUGCAAGUCGAACGAACCUUUCGGGGUUAGUGGCGGACGGGUGAGUAACACGUAGGAACGUGCCUUUAGGUUCGGAAUAACUCAGGAUAACUUGUGCUAAUACCGAAUGUGCCCUUCGGGGGAAAGAUUUAUCGCCUUUAGAGCGGCCCGCGGUUGAUUAGCUAGUUGGUGGAGGGAAUGGCUCACCAAGGCGACGAUCAGUAGCUGCUCUGAGAGGAUGAUCAGCAACACUGGGACUGAGACACGGCCCAGACCAUUGGGGGAGGCAGCAGUGGGGAAUUUCGGCCGAGGGGCGCAAGGGGGAUCCAGCAAUAAUGCGUGAAGGAAGAAGGCCUCCGUGCCGGAUAAUGAUUGUGGACGUAACGAAACUACACUGCUUAAUACGCGGGGCUAAUGACGGUACCGUAAGAAUAAGCACCGGCUAACUACGUG